GCGGCGGGCAGGGCCUCCCAAGCCCGGCUGUCCUCGGCCCGUGCGCGGCGCCCGGAGUCCCACUCCUCCCGAUGCUGUCCCCCGCGCCCGGAGGCCGAGCCAAUUCUCUGGGAAGUUCCCGGCUUGGGAGCGGAGCGGCCGGUCGGAAGAACCUCGGGUGCUGGCGCGCCUGAAGUUGCAGACCAGACUGAAAUGUGCGAGACAUGUGCCUUUUUCUUAGGAAAGGCCCCAGGUACCAGAAAGGUUUUCAGCGCGCCGACCUACGGGGCUAAGAGGGCUGAAAUAAGAACCAGUGACUGAGCGCCGGGAGGUUUAAGGUUUAUGGAAGAUGUUCAUCGCGCCGUACCCUACUAGAGGUUUGGGGACGUGGGACACAGCCCCUGCGUUCCCGCCGCGGACCCCGUGAUAAAUACACAGACACACAAAAUCACUACCGCCUUGAAUCUGGACAGCUACCUCAGGUGGUUAAUAUCUAACAGGAGCAGAGUGGAGCUCAGAAAGACUCAGCGUGGGUGCUGGGUUCCGGCGCGACCAGCCUGAUACCUAGGUCAGCAUCUCAGCCACACAAGCAGGCGGCAGUUCUGUCAGGAAUUACUACAUCUGGUGAUUCCACUUCUCAUAGCUCACCGCUGGGAGAAUAAUUCCUCAGGAUUAACAAGAUCUAUUCCAGAGGAUCCUCACUGCUGAAGCGAUUUUAGAAGACAGUGUGGUCUGUUGACAGUAUGGAAUAUUCUUUACCCAUCAGAUAUGAUCUGUAUGUGAUUGGAAGGAAAUAAACCAACUGCUAACAACACUUCUCUAUAGAUGUUCAGAUUCAGUAAUUUUUGUAUUUUUCUCUACACUUUUGUUUUUUCAAAUUUCCUAGCACAAGAAGACUUUGACUUACUGCACAUGUCAUUUUAAAUGACCUUUAUAAAGACUCUAUAGAAACAAUUUGCUAUGUCAUGAAAGUAACAAUCAAAAAAAGUAUGCACAUUGUGGCCACAAAGUAAAACUUGUGUGGAAGGUAAUGUGCAAAAAA
This 1021-nucleotide long non-coding RNA is filed under the name Homo sapiens (human). Its description in RNAcentral is "non-protein coding CNNM3-DT:20". Lineage: Eukaryota; Metazoa; Chordata; Mammalia; Primates; Hominidae. The record is from RNAcentral.